Molecule: long non-coding RNA, 1693 nt
Organism: Mytilus californianus (California mussel)
Lineage: Eukaryota; Metazoa; Mollusca; Bivalvia; Mytilida; Mytilidae
Exons: 4
Source: RefSeq, a predicted model, not a curated record
UGUUGUUACUUUGUAGCCCAUCCAUCAUCCAAGAUGGCCGCCAGCGGGAGACUUAGUUUAACAUAGGACCCUAUGGGAAAUGCAUACAAAUGACUUCUUUUAGAGAACCACUGAAUGGAAUAAAACCAAACAUGGCAUGAAUGUUCCUUAUGAGGUGCUCACCAAGUGUUGUUACUUUGUAGCCGAUCCAUCAUCCAAGAUGGCCGCCAGCGGGGGACUUAGUUUAACAUAGGACCCUAUGGGAAAUGCAUACAAAUGACUUCUUUUAGAGAACCACUGAAUGGAAUAAAACCAAACAUGGCAUGAAUGUUCCUUAUGAGGUGCUCACCAAGUGUUGUUACUUUGUAGCCGAUCCAUCAUCCAAGAUGGCCGCCAGCGGGGGACUUAGUUUAACAUAGGACCCUAUGGGAAAUGCAUACAAAUGACUUCUUUUAGAGAACCACUGAAUGGAAUAAAACCAAACAUGGCAUGAACGUUCCUUAUGAGGUGCUGACCAAGUGUUGUUACUUUGUAGCCGAUCCAUCAUCCAAGAUGGCCGCCAGCGGGGGAUUUAGUUUAACAUAGGACCCUAUGGGAAAUGCAUACAAAUGACUUCUUUUAGAGAACCACUGAAUGGAAUGGAACCAAACAUGGCAUGAAUGUUCCUUAUGAGGUGCUCACCAAGUGUUGUUACUUUGUAGCCGAUCCAUCAUCCAAGAUGGCCGCCAGCGGGGGACUUAGUUUAACAUAGGACCCUAUGGGAAAUGCAUACAAAUGACUUCUUUUAGAGAACCACUGAAUGGAAUAAAACCAAACAUGGCAUGAAUGUUCCUUAUGAGGUGCUGACCAAGUGUUGUUACUUUGUAGCCGAUCCAUCAUCCAAGAUGGCAGCUAGCGGGGGACUUAGUUUAACAUAGGACCCUAUGGGAAAUGCAUACAAAUGACUUCUUUUAGAGAACCACUGAAUGGAAUGAAACCAAACAUGGCAUGAAUGUUCCUUAUGAGGUGCUCACCAAGUGUUGUUACUUUGUAGCCGAUCCAUCAUCCAAGAUGGCCGCCAGCGGGGGACUUAGUUUAACAUAGGACCCUAUGGGAAAUACAUAAAAAUGUCUUCUUUUAGAGAACCACUGAAUGGAAUGGAACCAAACAUGGCAUGAAUGUUCCUUAUGAGAUGCUGACAAAGUGUUGUUACUUUGCAGCCGAUCCAUCAUCCAAGAUGGCCGCCAGCGGGGGACUUAGUUUAACAUAGGACCCUAUGGGAAAUACAUACAAUUGUCUUCUUUUAGAGAACCACUGAAUGGAAUUGAACCAAACAUGGCAUGAAUGUUCCUUAUGAGUUGCUGACCAAGUGUUGUUACUUUGCAGUCAAUCCAUCAUCCAAGAUGGCCGCUAGGGGGGGGGGGGGCUUAGUUUAACAUAGGACCCUAUGGGAAAUACAUACAAAUGUCUUCUUUUAGAAUACCACUGAAUGGAAUGAAACCAAACAUGGCAUGAAUGUUCCUUAUGAAGUGCUGACCAAGUGUUGCUACUUUGUUGCCGAUUUACUGUUCAAGAUGGCCACCAGGAUAUUUUAUUAAAUAACGGGACAAAUAUUAAUCAAAAUUUGGCCUCAAUCAUUAUUUGGGUAUCUGUUAUGAUUUUUAUCUAUCUUUACAUGAUUUCUAAAACCAAAGUAGAGUCAGGUGAGCGACACAGGCUCUUGAGAGCCUCUAGU